CCUACGGGCGGCAGCAGUGAGGAAUAUUGGUCAAUGGCCGCAGGGCUGAACCAGUCAAGUCGCGUGAGGGAUGACGGUCCUAUGGAUUGUAAACCUCUUUUGUCAGGGAGCAAAGGGCGCCACGUGUGGCGCUUUGCGAGUACCUGAAGAAAAAGCAUCGGCUAACUCCGUGCCAGCAGCCGCGGUAAUACGGAGGAUGCGAGCGUUAUCCGGAUUUAUUGGGUUUAAAGGGUGCGCAGGCGGAAUGUCAAGUCAGCGGUAAAAUUUCGGGGCUCAACCCCGUCGUGCCGUUGAAACUGGCGUUCUUGAGUGAGCGAGAAGUAGGCGGAAUGCGUGGUGUAGCGGUGAAAUGCAUAGAUAUCACGCAGAACUCCGAUUGCGAAGGCAGCAUACCGGCGCUCAACUGACGCUCAUGCACGAAAGCGUGGGUAUCGAACAGGAUUAGAUACCCCAGUAGUC
This 459-nucleotide ribosomal RNA is filed under the name uncultured bacterium. RNAcentral describes it as "partial 16S ribosomal RNA". It matches the Rfam family "Bacterial small subunit ribosomal RNA", at positions 338 to 795 of the family's 1533-position model. The record is from RNAcentral.